GGGCACAUAGCUCAGUUGGGAGAGCGUCAGACUGAAGAUCUGAAGGUCGCCGGCUCGAUCCCGGCUGGGCCCA
This 73-nucleotide transfer RNA is filed under the name Gaeumannomyces tritici R3-111a-1. RNAcentral describes it as "tRNA-Phe (GAA) (tRNA-Phe-GAA-2-1)". It matches the Rfam family "tRNA". Rfam says of the family: Transfer RNA (tRNA) molecules are approximately 80 nucleotides in length. Lineage: Eukaryota; Fungi; Ascomycota; Sordariomycetes; Magnaporthales; Magnaporthaceae. The record is from RNAcentral.